GCAGUCAUUUCCCAUGUAUACAACUGAUUGUUCCUUCCUAAGUGGAGUACUUUGCAUUUGUCCUUAUUGAAUUUUAUCCUAUUUACUUCAGAUCAUUUUGAAUUUUAAUCCUCUUCUCCAAAUGGGAGUCUUGUCAUUGACUUAAUGGGCUUUGGAUCUGCUCAAAGUUCACAACUCAAAGAAAACUUUAAACGUGAAAUUGGGUUUCUGGGCUACAUUUUUAAGUGUGGUGGGCCGUAUAAGCAUGUUUGCUUAUAUACACAACCAGUCCAUUCAAAACAAUGAAGCAGAUGCACAUUUUGAUAGAAACAAAUAUUUAUUGGAGAAUUCGUGCACUUUGGAUAAAACAGCAGGAGGAAAUCAUAUGUGCUAUGCAAAGGUGUCCUAUUGUAUGGUUCACCAGGCUGUGAGUACAAGUAUGAUAUACGGUAAAGGCAACUGCACCAGGUGGCUGUAGUAACAUAGAAACACACAUGCAUGCUCUCAAAUCAGGAAUGUCAUGAUCUGGUACGGAUUAGAUGUAGCCGUGUGGUACCAAAAAUUAAUUGGCAGUUGCUGUGCAGAAUAAGAAUCGAGCUUAUUGCUUUCGACUUUUUAUGUUGUGUGUGAAAGUCCGGAAAUGUCGUGAAUGGUGCUCAUCCCACAGAAGCAGAACAGCAGGAGCUGUGGACUCAUACACAAUUAUUUUUUAAAUUAUUGGUUCCUUUAGGGUAGAAAAGGUUGUGAUUCUUAUGUGUCCAUUUCUGUUUGCUCUGAAGUUGCUUAACCUCUGGCUGUGUUUAACCAAAUGACAGCUGCGGAGCGUUGGAGGGACUGUACGUCCAGGCGAUAAGCAUGUGCCGCGCUGCUGAGCAUUAGCAGUUGCCUACUGAAGUUCCACUAACUCCAGGGGAACGUUAAAGGGUAACGACAGAACAGAAGAGGACCAGCGGCAAUCAGACUUAAAGGAUGAAGCUGGAGAAAUAUCCACAAAUUAUCUGGAUUAGUGGAUGUAAAUUCUUACAUAGUUGCUGUUAAAAAUUAAGGUUUACCUGUGCACCACAACUCAUGGCGUUUAAUUCCAGUCACUUAAGGAAACAAGACUUUGCUUUUGGAACUGUACAAAAUUUACACUGCAAUGGGCGGCUGUGGUGGACCGGGGAGGAGGGAGCGUCGAGCUGUGGAAAAGAGCCUGGGGAGCCAUACUACGGUAGAAACUGCAUUUAAAAAAGAAAAAAAUACAAGCAGCUUCCGUGCUACAGGAUCCACGAUGCUGUGUUUGUUCUGGGUCUCUCUUCCGCUGUCAGAGCAGGUGUCUGUGGGCGUGAGCCUUCGGGGGGAAGGCCUGAGGCGCGCUGAGAGCUCCUGAUCUCAGGCGAGGCUCGCUGCAGGAAGCUAGCUCAUUCACCAGCGACUAGCACAGAGGGUGGCCAAUGUGGAGGUGCUGCCAGACAGCCUGGCAGCGAGGUUGCUGAGCUCUGUUUUUCCCUCAGUCGCUGUGUCAGUGCGGUUGGAGCUACUCCUGCAGAGGUGACCAACCAGCAAAUCCGAGCGAGAGGGAGCAUGCGCCGCUGCGGUGCUUUUCAUUUAGCUUUCAGCAUGCCCAGAGCCCUUCGACAGCAGGCAGUAAACCACAGCCCAUUUCUGCCUCACUCAAUUCUUCAGCCCUCCAGUUCCAGCUUUUAAAGUGCAAUGUUUAAACAUGAGCAUCUCCCCCCACCUGCCUCCACGGACUAGCGAUGCCAGAGCGAUGAGUUCUAGGCUGCUCCAGGUAGAGGCUACCAGCAGGCACGCGUUUGCCUGGUGGAGAGCAAAGAGCUGUGGACGAUGGGAUGCCCUACAUUAGACCAGCAUACCCUGGAAUGCUCUUUCUGAGGACCAGGGGACACUAAGGGGGGAGACAGAUUACUGUGUGCUUAGUCAAUGUAGUUUCUGGUUGAGGGGCUGGGGUCAUUUAUACCAGGCUUUAAUCCUUCCUACAGGCCCCAGCCAAAUUCCAGUGACUGGAGCCUGGAGGAAGAAGUUCUGGUGCACAGGGAGUUCUCUGGAUACAUUUGCUGGUGACCUUAUGGUGUAAAUUGCAGGGGCAGCUGGCCACAAGCCACUUGAGUGGCUCAGGGUGGAAGCUACACUCAUCUGGCACUCUGUGGGUGCACUCUACAAGGGGCCACACCUGCUAAUAGGGGGUGCCUGGAUCAGAGCUUUGGUGCCUAAAACAAAGGUAGGGUCAGAUUUCCAAAAGCACUUUCGGAGCACAGGGUCUAUUGAAAGGCAGAGGGGUCUGUGCUUCACCGAACCUUGGGCUUUUUGAAAAUCCAUCCAUAGAUCUUUAUGGAAAAGUCCUACAGGAUUUAAUAGAACAUGACUCCCUUUGGCCAUAGUAUGGUUUGAACCAUCCUUUAGAACUUGUACACCUGCACUAAAAGCUACA
This is a long non-coding RNA of Chelonia mydas (Green sea turtle), 2410 nucleotides long. RefSeq lists it as uncharacterized. The record is from RefSeq and is a predicted model, not a curated record. NCBI's taxonomy places the organism in Eukaryota, Metazoa, Chordata, Testudines, Cheloniidae. The transcript has 2 exons.